CGUGCCUAAGGUAUGCAAGUCGAAUGCCGAUUUAUCGGCAUGGCAGACGGCUGAGUAAUACAUGGGAAUCUACCUCAAACUCGAGAAUAGCCCAUCGAAAGGUGGUGUAAUGCUCGAUAGUUCCGUUUACGGUAAAGCUCCGGCGGUUUGAGAUGAGCCCAUGUCCUAUCAGGUUGUUGGUGGGGUAAUUGCCUACCAAGCCUAUGACGGGUAGCUGGUUUGAGAGGAUGAUCAGCCAGACUGGGACUGCGAUACGGCCCAGACUCCUACGGGAGGCAGCAACUAGGAAUCAUGCGCAAUGGACGAAAGUCUGACGCUGCGACGUCGCGUGAGGGAUGAAGGUCUUCGGAUCGUAAACCUCUUUUAUCUGGGAACAAGUUCUGAGUGUACCAGAUGAAUAAGUGCCUGCCAACCACGUGCCAGAAGCAUCGGUAAUGCGUGGGGCACGAGCGUUAUCCGGAUUUACUGGGCGUAAAGAGAUGCGUAGGCGCCUUUUUAAGUCACUUGUAAAAUCUCCCCGCUCAACGGGGAAACUGCAAGUGAUACUGAAUUGGUUGAGUCAAGUAGAGGAGAGGGGAAUUCCUGGUGGAGCGGUUAAAUGCGUUGAUAUCAGGAGGAAUACCAAGUGCGAAGGCACCUCUCUGGACUUGUACUGACGCUAAGGCUCGAAAGUGUGGGGAGCAAAACGGAUUAGAUACCCGUGUAGUCCACACUGUAAACGAUCCCUGCUAGAUGUUUG
This 739-nucleotide ribosomal RNA is filed under the name uncultured organism. RNAcentral describes it as "bacterial SSU rRNA". It matches the Rfam family "Bacterial small subunit ribosomal RNA", at positions 43 to 826 of the family's 1533-position model. The record is from RNAcentral.